UGAUGUGAGGGGCAAUCUGGCAGGGACAUUUGUCGCCCCUCUGAUCGCCCAGGGUUGAUUUCAGGUGAGUCUGUGGCUGGCUGGCUGGGGUGUCCCCUUCCUCCCUCACUGCUCCACGUGCAUCACCUCCUGACUGUGUGCCUUGGUCAAAGAGGGCAUGACCAUUCCCCAAUAGGAGGAGGACUGGUCUUCGGUCAAGGGUAUAUGAUACGGCGCCCUCCCCUCUGAACCUUCCAGAUCAAGCUCUCUACUAACAAUACAAAAAUUAGCCAGUCAUGGUGGAUAUGCACCUUUGUCGGUACCUA
Molecule: small nuclear RNA, 305 nt
Filed under: Macaca nemestrina (pig-tailed macaque)
Lineage: Eukaryota; Metazoa; Chordata; Mammalia; Primates; Cercopithecidae
Description: 7SK RNA (ENSMNEG00000007691.1)
Rfam family: 7SK RNA
About the family: 7SK was discovered as an abundant small nuclear RNA in the mid-70s but a possible function has only recently been suggested. Two independent studies have found that 7SK RNA binds the CDK9/cyclin T complex (known as elongation factor P-TEFb).
Source: RNAcentral